GCACAAGCGGUGGAGCAUGUGGUUUAAUUCGACGCAACGCGAAGAACCUUACCUGGGCUCGAAAUGUAGUGGACCGGGGUAGAAAUAUCCCUUCCUAGCAAUAGGCUGCUAUAUAGGUGCUGCAUGGCUGUCGUCAGCUCGUGUCGUGAGAUGUUGGGUUAAGUCCCGCAACGAGCGCAACCCUUAUUACCAGUUGCUACCAUUUAGUUGAGCACUCUGGUGAGACCGCCUCGGAUAACGGGGAGGAAGGCGAGGAUGACGUCAAGUCCUCAUGGCCUUUAUGUCCAGGGCUACACACGUGCUACAAUGGCCGGUACAAACCGCUGCAAACCCGCGAGGGGGAGCUAAUCGGAAAAAGCCGGCCUCAGUUCGGAUUGGAGUCUGCAACUCGACUCCAUGAAGCUGGAAUCGCUAGUAAUCGUGGAUCAGCAUGCCACGGUGAAUACGUUCCCGGGC
Molecule: ribosomal RNA, 456 nt
Filed under: uncultured bacterium
Lineage: Bacteria
Description: bacterial SSU rRNA
Rfam family: Bacterial small subunit ribosomal RNA
Source: RNAcentral